This 330-nucleotide ribosomal RNA is filed under the name uncultured Bacteroidota bacterium. RNAcentral describes it as "bacterial SSU rRNA". It matches the Rfam family "Bacterial small subunit ribosomal RNA", at positions 28 to 351 of the family's 1533-position model. The record is from RNAcentral. Lineage: Bacteria; Pseudomonadati; Bacteroidota.
GAUGAACGCUAGCGGCAGGCUUAAUACAUGCAAGUCGAGGGGCAGCAUGAGUGUAGCAAUACAUUUGAUGGCGACCGGCAAACGGGUGCGGAACACGUACAGAACCUUCCUUCGAGCGGGGAAUAGCCCAGAGAAAUUUGGAUUAAUACCCCAUAGCAUUACGGAGUGGCAUCACUUUGUAAUUAAAGAUUUAUCACUUGAAGAUGGCUGUGCGGCUGAUUAGGUAGUUGGCGGGGUAACGGCCCACCAAGCCUACGAUCAGUAACUGGUGUGAGAGCACGACCAGUCACACGGGCACUGAGACACGGGCCCGACUCCUACGGGAGGCAG